Molecule: long non-coding RNA, 1469 nt
Organism: Amphibalanus amphitrite
Lineage: Eukaryota; Metazoa; Arthropoda; Thecostraca; Balanomorpha; Balanidae
Exons: 4
Source: RefSeq, a predicted model, not a curated record
CCCGCCGGCCGCCCGACGCGUAUCCACCAGCUGUGGCGUAUAGGUAUGGCCGGCUGAGAGACCGGCCGACCGAGUUUGGUUGUUCAUCGGGUGUCCGUGUUUUGGCAACUGCUGAUUAUUAGCAUAGGUUUGCAGCCAAUUGUUCGGCCUAAUUGUGUCUUAAUCGUACACUGGCUGAUGCUGAAAGGGAGUACUGCACAUUGCAGGGCAUUCUCUCCCAAAAAAUCGUCCCAAAUUAUCCAGACUCCUCCAAUUUGGGUACCUCAUGCGUCGCUGAGAUCGUGAAAGCAAGACCCUUUCUUCUAAAAAUUGCUGUUUUGUUGUCAAUUAACGGAAAGCGACAAAUUUUGAACGAUUUAGGAGGCUACCGAAGGGGUGAAUGCACUAGAUACCCCCUCCCUGUGAGAUAAUCAGAUAUUUUUGCAAUCGAUUUAUCACACAUUUCACUGUACUUUGACGGCGCGUAUUCUGAAGCGGCCCGGUCGGCGGCGACCUAUCAGGGGGCCGCCCGGUCACCGCUCCGCCAAUCAGGUGGCCGCUUAUUCUGACCAAUCAGCGGCCGCCCCCGGUCGGCCCACAGCCGCCUGACCUCGAAAUGGGCAACGGAGCGGAGACGUCACGUGCAUUGUUUACGUUCAUUGACCCGGCGGGCUAUCAACGAUGGAAUUUUUCUGUUUUGAUAUUCCAUGACUGACUGAAGAGUCGUGAUAGAAUCAAAUACGAGCAACAAGCUAACCUUCAUAAGCGUGCCUGCAAUUUAUAGGGCCGGAAAGUGUUUGGAGCUGUUCGGACACUGGCGUCAGCGGCGGCAGCGACUGAUGACCGGUCCGGCGGCGCGCGCAGCAUAUCUCGGGUCAGGGCGGCGACGUCCCAUCGAGACCGGGCGGAGCUAAGGAUGGUGCCGCGGCUCUGGGGGCGGCGGCGCCAGACUCGGCCGUGCCCGCUGGCUCACUGGCCGGCGCCGCGGGCCGCUGAGCCAGCCGGAGCUCAGCGGUUCACCUCAGCAGGCUGCUGCGGACGGCCGUCGCCCCCUCGCCGCCAGUGCCGUCCAAGUUUGUCUGCAAUGAGAUACGGGAACAGACUACGAGAGCGCCCUAGAGGGCGGCACCGGCGCACUGGCGGCCCGGCGGGUGGAGUACGGCGCUGGCAGCGCCGGGCCGCCGCCGGCCACGGCCGCUCGCCCACGCCGCCGUCCCGGUUCGAGUCGCCGACGGGGGCCGGUCCCAGCCGGCUGACGGGGGUCGCUCCAGACGGAGCCCGACUGUGAGCCGGGGCGGGCUCCGUGCGGCAGACGACCAGCCCGAGCAGCCGGCUGAGCCGGCGGACCACCGCCGCCGCCAGGAUCCCCUCGCCAACGCCUCCGCGGCCCCCAUCGACGACCUCUAGCCAGCUGUGCCAGCAGGUCCAGCGGCAGCAGCAGCAGCUGCAGCAGCGGAGCGCGGCGGAGAGCCAGCUCAUCGAAGCGACGG